AGCCUCCCUGGGCACCGGCGCGCCUUCGCGCCCCACACAGCUCGCCGGCCGGCGCUCCUCGACUCGGCAGACGAGGCGGCGCCUUUGUGUGUGUGCCGCCUUUGCGCUUCCAAACUUGCCCCACUGCCGGAGGCUCUCACUUAAGGGAACAAAAACUGGAGAGAACUGAACGUCGCACAACAGCCAGGCGACCCUUGCCCGCCCAAGACGCUCCUCGGGCUGGCGCGGGCAGGGAACACCCCUUUACUAGUGUCUGCAUACCCGCAGCUUUAGCUCUUGGCCACCAAAGUGAAGACAGGAAGAGGGACCAAGGACACCCCCCCCCCCAAAUGAGGGGGGAAUUGAGGAAACAGGGGUUAAGGAGUUGCCGAGCCAGCACUUCGGCGGCCGCGUAGAGUCCCAGUGCGCAACUCACGCCCGAGACCCAGAGAAGAGCCAUGGGCAGCCCACGAGUGCACGGGCAGCUCCAGAGGGCGGAUGUCGGCUUUCACUCCACGCAAGCCUGCACCCUUGAAUUUUUCUCCAGCAUGAUUUUAACUGAACUCUGCAUUCAAGACCGGCGCCUGGGACCCCUGCUCGAGGGGCUGGAGGCUGUCCCUGCCCCCGCACGCGCAGAGCCCCAAGCCUGACUGAGCGCCCGCCCCGCGGUCAGCUCCCCGCACAACUGCGCGCCUGCGCACCGGGACCCGGCGCGCGAGCGUUCCUUCCCGGCUCCGUGUUCCUCCCUCCCCCGUGCGCCUGCGCGCCGGCUGGGAGGAACUCGGCGCCUUGGCCUCGACGGGCGGGCGGAUGGGCGCG
Molecule: long non-coding RNA, 798 nt
Organism: Suricata suricatta (meerkat)
Lineage: Eukaryota; Metazoa; Chordata; Mammalia; Carnivora; Herpestidae
Exons: 3
Source: RefSeq, a predicted model, not a curated record